AUUGAACGCUGGCGGCAUGAUUUACACAUGCAAGUCGAACGGUAACAGGCCGCAAGGUGCUGACGAGUGGCGAACGGGUGAGUAAUACAUCGGAACGUGCCCAGUCGUGGGGGAUAACUACUCGAAAGAGUAGCUAAUACCGCAUACGAUCUAUGGAUGAAAGCGGGGGACCGUAAGGCCUCGCGCGAUUGGAGCGGCCGAUGUCAGAUUAGGUAGUUGGUGGGGUAAAGGCUCACCAAGCCAACGAUCUGUAGCUGGUCUGAGAGGACGACCAGCCACACUGGGACUGAGACACGGCCCAGACUCCUACGGGAGGCAGCAGUGGGGAAUUUUGGACAAUGGGCGCAAGCCUGAUCCAGCAAUGCCGCGUGCAGGAAGAAGGCCUUCGGGUUGUAAACUGCUUUUGUACGGAACGAAACGGCUCUGGUUAAUACCCGGGGCUAAUGACGGUACCGUAAGAAUAAGCACCGGCUAACUACGUG
This 482-nucleotide ribosomal RNA is filed under the name uncultured bacterium. Its description in RNAcentral is "partial 16S ribosomal RNA". It matches the Rfam family "Bacterial small subunit ribosomal RNA", at positions 30 to 507 of the family's 1533-position model. The record is from RNAcentral.